Molecule: ribosomal RNA, 428 nt
Filed under: uncultured prokaryote
Description: bacterial SSU rRNA
Rfam family: Bacterial small subunit ribosomal RNA
Source: RNAcentral
UGAGGAAUUUUGCGCAAUGGGAGCAAGCCUGACGCAGCGACGCCGCGUGAGGGAAGAAGGCCUUCGGGUCGUAAACCUCUGUCUAGAGGGAAGAAACCAUUGAGGUCGAAUAGGCCUCUUUGCUGACGGUACCUCUGAAGGAAGCACCGGCUAACUCCGUGCCAGCAGCCGCGGUAAUACGGAGGGUGCGAGCGUUAAUCGGAAUCACUGGGCGUAAAGCGCACGUAGGCGGUCUUGUAAGCCAGACGUGAAAGCCCUCGGCUCAACCGGGGAAUUGCGUUUGAUACUGCUCGACUUGAGUAUCGGAGAGGGUGGCGGAAUUCCAGGUGUAGGAGUGAAAUCCGUAGAUAUCUGGAGGAACACCGGCGGCGAAGGCGGCCACCUGGACGAAUACUGACGCUGAGGUGCGAAAGCGUGGGGAGCAAACA